This 354-nucleotide ribosomal RNA is filed under the name bacterium LimA-100-A-442. Its description in RNAcentral is "bacterial SSU rRNA". It matches the Rfam family "Bacterial small subunit ribosomal RNA", at positions 289 to 635 of the family's 1533-position model. The record is from RNAcentral.
GGUCUGAGAGGAUGAUCAGUCACACUGGAACUGAGACACGGUCCAGACUCCUACGGGAGGCAGCAGUGGGGAAUAUUGGACAAUGGGCGAAAGCCUGAUCCAGCCAUGCCGCGUGUGUGAAGAAGGUCUUCGGAUUGUAAAGCACUUUAAGUUGGGAGGAAGGGCAGUAACCUAAUACGUGAGUGUUUUGACGUUACCGACAGAAUAAGCACCGGCUAACUCUGUGCCAGCAGCCGCGGUAAUACAGAGGGUGCAAGCGUUAAUCGGAAUUACUGGGCGUAAAGCGCGCGUAGGUGGUUUGUUAAGUUGGAUGUGAAAUCCCCGGGCUCAACCUGGGAACUGCAUCCAAAACUG